This 1038-nucleotide long non-coding RNA is filed under the name Carassius auratus (goldfish). Its description in RNAcentral is "lncRNA (ENSCARG00000004537.1)". Lineage: Eukaryota; Metazoa; Chordata; Actinopteri; Cypriniformes; Cyprinidae. The record is from RNAcentral.
AUGCUGCUGCUGCUCUCCGUCUUCACUAGGAAGUACUCGAACACAUCCUCGAACACUUCACUGCUGCUGCUGCUUUCCGUCUUGACUAGGAAGUACUCGAACACAUCCUCAAACACUUCCCUGCUGCUGCUGCUGCUCUCCGUCUUCACUGCUAAGUACUUGAACACAUCCUCAAACACUUCACUGCUGCUGCUGCUGCUCUCCGUCUUCACUAGGAAGUACUCGAACACAUCCUCGAACACUUCACUGCGGCUGCUGCUCUCCGUCUUCACUAGGAAGUACUCAAACAUAUCCUUGAACACUUCACUGCUACUGCUGCUCUCUGUCUUCACUAGGAAGUACUCGAACAUAUCCUCGAACACUUCACUGCUGCUGCUCUCCGUCUUCACUGGGAAGUACUCGAACACAUCCUCGAACACUUCACUGCUGCUGCUGCUGCUCUCCGUCUUCACAAGGAAGUACUCAAAGGUGUAUUCGAACACUUCACUGCUACUGCUCUCUGUCUUCACUAGGAAGUACUCAAACACAUCCUCGAACACUUCACUGCUGCUGCUGCUCUCCGUCUUCACUAGGAAGUACUCAAACACAUCCUCGAACAUUUCACUGCUGCUGCCGCUCUCCGUCUUCACUAGGAAGUACUCAAAGGUGUCUUCAAACGCUUCACUGCUGCUCUCCGUCUUCACAAGGAAGUACUCAAAGGUGUAUUCGAACACUUCACUGCUACUGCUCUCUGUCUUCACUAGGAAGUACUCAAACACAUCCUCGAACACUUCACUGCUGCUGCUGCUCUCCGUCUUCACUAGGAAGUACUCAAACACAUUCUCGAACAUUUCACUGCUGCUGCCGCUCUCCGUCUUCACUAGGAAGUACUCAAAGGUGUCUUCAAACGCUUCACUGCUGCUCCCCGUCUUCACAAGGAAGUACUCAAAGGUGAUGAACAUAAUUAACAGCAAUUAUUAUGUGAUGCAAUCACACUUGGAGCAAUCUUUGUUAGUUCUGUUUGAAGAUUCAGGGUUAGCAUCAUCUGGGUCCUCCUAG